This is a long non-coding RNA of Seriola aureovittata, 387 nucleotides long. RefSeq lists it as uncharacterized. The transcript is spliced from 4 exons. NCBI's taxonomy places the organism in Eukaryota, Metazoa, Chordata, Actinopteri, Carangiformes, Carangidae. The record is from RefSeq and is a predicted model, not a curated record.
CAAAAAUCCAAACGAACAGGACAGAGAUGCUAAUGUUUUAGCAGCUAACGUUAGCCAAAACACAGAUGCCUCGCACAGCUUCCACACGAAGAAGAAGUAAGACACCACCCUCCAGACUCUUUACGAGCAGGACCAAACCCAAACAGAAAAACCCGUCGACUUCAGGAUGAGGGAACCAGAAAUUAAUCCGAACGCCACUUCAACGCCUCGUCAUUCCUCAGCAGAGAGGACCGGACCAGCAGCUCGACACGAGCCAGGCUAAACGAACCCGAGCGCUCCCAACUACGGCUCGGACAAUAACUGUGGCAAGAAGGUUGAGCCCUUUAACCUGGAUUCCCCGGGCAUCUAUCUGUCAUCCAACAGAGCGUAGCACAUCGGACAGAAGGG